GAAAUUUUGCAGGGCAAGGUUGCUGAAUUCUUUUUUGUUUGAGUAGACAACAGGGUAUGAGGUUUUCUCCAGGGCAACAAGUUCAAUUGAAUAAAUGCAUGGCCAUGGUGUAUUUUGUGUGUUUUCUUGAGCAGAAUUGCAAGGCAAUGGCUUGGUGAAUUGUGGGCUUGGACGUUGAUGGAUAUAAUGGUUGGACUUAUCAAUUAGUUUGUAAGGUUGAAUGUAAUGUGAAUAGGAUUAUGAUGGAAAUUUUAAUGAAUUGGAUGUUUAUUGUAUUUAAUGUAUCAAAAUGUGUAUUGAUAUGAAUCAUGAACAAGUUAAUUGACUUGAAUGUGCAUUGAAUGUUAUGUAAAGGAAUGCUUUUGAAUGUCAAGAUUGUCAUGUAAUGAAUUGAAUUGGUAUGGAAAGUGUAUUAUGAAAUCAAAUGGUUUAUGGAAU
This 438-nucleotide long non-coding RNA is filed under the name Lathyrus oleraceus (garden pea). RNAcentral describes it as "Pisum sativum (pea) long non-coding RNA (PSAT_LNC014860)". Lineage: Eukaryota; Viridiplantae; Streptophyta; Magnoliopsida; Fabales; Fabaceae. The record is from RNAcentral.